RNAcentral lists this ribosomal RNA (253 nucleotides) under uncultured prokaryote. Its description in RNAcentral is "partial 16S ribosomal RNA". It matches the Rfam family "Bacterial small subunit ribosomal RNA", at positions 525 to 777 of the family's 1533-position model. The record is from RNAcentral.
ACGGAGGGGGCUAGCGUUGUUCGGAAUUACUGGGCGUAAAGCGCACGUAGGCGGCUUUGUAAGUUAGAGGUGAAAGCCCGGAGCUCAACUCCGGAACUGCCUUUAAGACUGCAUCGCUCGAACGUCGGAGAGGUAAGUGGAAUUCCGAGUGUAGAGGUGAAAUUCGUAGAUAUUCGGAAGAACACCAGUGGCGAAGGCGACUUACUGGACGACUGUUGACGCUGAGGUGCGAAAGCGUGGGGAGCAAACAGGA